AAAUUGAAGAGUUUGAUCAUGGCUCAGAUUGAACGCUGGCGGCAGGCCUAACACAUGCAAGUCGAACGGUAACAGGAAGAAGCUUGCUUCUUUGCUGACGAGUGGCGGACGGGUGAGUAAUGUCUGGGAAACUGCCUGAUGGAGGGGGAUAACUACUGGAAACGGUAGCUAAUACCGCAUAACGUCGCAAGACCAAAGAGGGGGACCUUCGGGCCUCUUGCCAUCGGAUGUGCCCAGAUGGGAUUAGCUAGUAGGUGGGGUAACGGCUCACCUAGGCGACGAUCCCUAGCUGGUCUGAGAGGAUGACCAGCCACACUGGAACUGAGACACGGUCCAGACUCCUACGGGAGGCAGCAGUGGGGAAUAUUGCACAAUGGGCGCAAGCCUGAUGCAGCCAUGCCGCGUGUAUGAAGAAGGCCUUCGGGUUGUAAAGUACUUUCAGCGGGGAGGAAGGGAGUAAAGUUAAUACCUUUACUCAUUGACGUUACCCGCAGAAGAAGCACCGGCUAACUCCGUGCCAGCAGCCGCGGUAAUACGGAGGGUGCAAGCGUUAAUCGGAAUUACUGGGCGUAAAGCGCACGCAGGCGGUUUGUUAAGUCAGAUGUGAAAUCCCCGGGCUCAACCUGGGAACUGCAUCUGAUACUGGCAAAAGCUUUGAGUCUCGUAGAGGGGGUAGAAUUCGGGUGUAGCGGUGAAAUGCGUAGAGAUCUGGAGGAAUACCGGUGGCGAAGGCGGCCCCUCGGACGAAGACUGACGCUCAGGUGCGAAAGCGUGGGGAGCAAACAGGGAUUAGAUACCCCGGUAGUCCACGCCGUAAACGAUGUCGACUUGGAGGUUGCUGCCCUUGAGGCGUGGCUUCCGGAGCUAACGCGUUAAGUCGACCGCACGGGGAGUACGGCCGCAAGGUUAAAACUCAAAUGAAUUGACGGGGCCCGCACAAGCGGUGGAGCAUGUGGUUUUAAUUCGAUGCAACGCGAAGAACCUUACCAGUCUUGACAUCCACAGAACUUUCCAGAGAUGGAUUGGUGCCUUCGGGAACUGUGAGACAGGUGCUGCAUGGCUGUCGUCAGCUCGUGUUGUGAAAUGUUGGGUUAAGUCCCGCAACGAGCGCAACCCUUAUCCUUUGUUGCCAGCGGUCCGGCCGGGAACUCAAAGGAGACUGCCAGUGAUAAACUGGAGGAAGGUGGGGAUGACGUCAAGUCAUCAUGGCCCUGCAUGACCAGGGCUACACACGUGCUACAAUGGCGCAUACAAAGAGAAGCGACCUCGCGAGAGCAAGCGGACCUCAUAAAGUGCGUCGUAGUCCGGAUUGGAGUCUGCAACUCGACUCCAUGAAGUCGGAAUCGCUAGUAAUCGUGGAUCAGAAUGCCACGGUGAAUACGUUCCCGGGCCUUGUACACACCGCCCGUCACACCAUGGGAGUGGGUUGCAAAAGAAGUAGGUAGCUAACCUUCGGGAGGGCGCUUACCACUUUGUGAUUCAUGACUGGGGUGAAGUCGUAACAAGGUAACCGUAGGGAACCUGCGGUUGGAUCACCUCCUUACCUUAAAGAAGC
This 1555-nucleotide ribosomal RNA is filed under the name Escherichia coli. RNAcentral's name for it is "bacterial SSU rRNA". It matches the Rfam family "Bacterial small subunit ribosomal RNA". The record is from RNAcentral. Lineage: Bacteria; Pseudomonadati; Pseudomonadota; Gammaproteobacteria; Enterobacterales; Enterobacteriaceae.